This 479-nucleotide ribosomal RNA is filed under the name uncultured bacterium. Its description in RNAcentral is "bacterial SSU rRNA". It matches the Rfam family "Bacterial small subunit ribosomal RNA", at positions 772 to 1245 of the family's 1533-position model. The record is from RNAcentral.
ACGUAAUAGAUACCCCGGUAGUCCACGCCCUAAACGAUGUCUACUAGUUGUUGGUGGAGUAAAAUCCAUGAGUAAACGCAGCUAAACGCGUGAAGUAGACCGCCUGGGGAGUACGGUCGCAAGAUUAAAACUCAAAGGAAUUGACGGGGGCCCGGCACAAGCGGUGGAUUAUGUGGAUUAAUUCGAUGCAACGCGAAAAACCUUACCUGGCCUUGACAUGCCACUAACGAAGCAGAGAUGCAUUAGGUGCCCGUAAGGGAAAGUGGACACAGGUGCUGCAUGGCUGUCGUCAGCUCGUGUCGUGAGAUGUUGGGUUUAAGUCCCGCAACGAGCGCAACCCUUGCCAUUAAUUGCCAUCAUUUAGUUGGGCACUUUAAUGGGACUGCCGGUGACAAACCGGAGGAAGGUGGGGAUGACGUCAAGUCCUCAUGGCCCUUAUGGCCAGGGCUUCACACGUAAUACAAUGGUCGGUACAGAGA